This is a ribosomal RNA of 90 nucleotides. It matches the Rfam family "Bacterial large subunit ribosomal RNA", at positions 2837 to 2925 of the family's 2925-position model.
CUUAAAGAUGAUGAGGUUGAUAGGUCUCGGGUGGAAGCACGGCGACGUGUGGAGCUGAGAGAUACUAAUCGGUCGAGGACUUAUCCUAAA